AACCCAUGGUGAGGGCACCUUCUCAAUAAAUAUUUAUAUCUCUCCCAUACAUUAUAUAAGGUCUCCAAAUCCAUUGUACAAAGGAAGAGAUAUCAUUCCUCAAUUU
This 106-nucleotide small nucleolar RNA is filed under the name Gossypium hirsutum (cotton). RNAcentral's name for it is "Plant small nucleolar RNA R71". It matches the Rfam family "Plant small nucleolar RNA R71". Rfam says of the family: R71 is a member of the C/D box family of snoRNAs containing the C (UGAUGA) and D (CUGA) box motifs. Multiple nearly identical copies of this snoRNA have been identified in Arabidopsis, and it is thought to function as a 2'-O-ribose methylation guide for 18S ribosomal RNA. The record is from Rfam by way of RNAcentral. Lineage: Eukaryota; Viridiplantae; Streptophyta; Magnoliopsida; Malvales; Malvaceae.